RNAcentral lists this ribosomal RNA (232 nucleotides) under uncultured bacterium. RNAcentral describes it as "partial 16S ribosomal RNA". It matches the Rfam family "Bacterial small subunit ribosomal RNA", at positions 28 to 273 of the family's 1533-position model. The record is from RNAcentral.
GACAAACGCUGGCGGCGUGCCUAAAACAUGCAAGUCGAACGGUCCUUCGGGACAGUGGCGGACGGCUGAGUAACACGUAGGUGACCUACCCUUGAGUGGGGAAUAACGCUCCGAAAGGAGCGCUAAUACCGCAUACGACCACCGUUUUUCGGGACGGUGAGGAAAGCCGCAAGGUGCUCGAGGCUGGGCCUGCGUCCGAUUAGCUAGUUGGUGAGGUAACGGCCCACCAAGG